UGCGGCCGGCCGCCCCGCCGACUGACAGCCCGCGCCCGCCACUCGCCGCGCCCGGCGCCGUCGCGUCGGCCUCCUCCCGCCCAAUCAGCGCCCGGCCCGAGGUCCUCGCCGGGGGGCGGGACUAUGCUGAUCACGGCGCCGGAGCGGCCCCGCCCUCCGCCCCCUGGGAGUCCAGCCCACACGGAGAAAUGACGAGGGGGGCGACCAAUCAAGGAAGGGAGAGGCGGGGAUAUGCAGAUAUUGACCCGAGAGGGGCGGGCGGGCGGAAGGGGCGUGGCUGGGUGAGCUGAGUUUACAAACAGCGAGUCAGGUGGCCAGGGUGCGGGUGCUCGGCGCGCUGCGGCCCCUGCGGCAGCCGCUCCCGACCCCCGGGGACGGGCGGAGGCUGGAGUCUCCCUCCUAAAGCUGCCUUCCUCAGCUCCAGCGUCUUGCAGGGCUUCCCACCGUCCACCCUCCGUGCCACGCCUUUCACCAUUCACCGAAACCCGGCGCCAGUUUACCCUCCGUCCGCACCCCUGACCGUUCACUCCCUUCUUUAAAACCUUUGGGGGCGCUUACUGACUUGUCGUGGCUCCAUGGUUAAGCCCAGAAGCUCUGGAGUCAGACUCGAGCUUGCAUCCUUACCAGCUGUGUGGCCGUGGGCAAGUAAACUAACCUCUCUGAGCCUAUAAGUACCAAGAUUUUCCUUUGUGAACCCGCUUUCUCCCACCCAAUCCCAUUUAAGUCUCGGGUCCGGUUUGGGGUGGGUGGAGGAACAUGAAUCAGGCUGCCUGGGGAGAGUCAUAGCGCGUGGCUCCGGGGUGAGCAGGUGACCCUGUACUGGCCAGGUUGGGUCAGCCCUGGGACUUUUGCUGGGGGUCAGAGAGCUCAGGCCACAGGGAAAGCUGAGGUCAAACGACUCUCCCAUCUGCCCACAGACCUCCACAGAACUGGGCUAGGUGACAGAAAGAUGUUGCAAUAAGUCUGAGGCCACUGAUGGGCAUUUUGUCACCACGAGGGGCGGGGGCACCUGGGAAUGAGACCAACCCAGAAGAAAGCAAGAGGAAAUAGAGGUUUAUGAGUCACCUGGAGCCAGCUGCACCCUCAGCAAGCUCUAUCCUAGAUUUUUCAGUAAUGCGCGUUACCACGUUUUCCUCUCUCAGCCAGUUUGAGGUGGUGCUAAAGAACUACUGGGACCCUGGAGCCGCAAGACCACCCGGCUCAUAAGGCACAUUGUGAGGCCCCCGCUCCUCCCCGCGUCUUCCACGCAGCUCUCCCUCCUCAGGACGUGGCCCCAUUUCCAGAGGGGGUGCGGGGGACUGGACCGCGCGUGCCUUGAGGGCGGGGCAGGCCUUGGCCACCUCUGCAGCCAGUGCAGAUGAAGGUGCCUCCUGUAAACAGUGGAGCAGAAGCACGUGCGGCAGGGCUAGGGCCCAGGCUGCAUUUCUGGGCCCAGAAAGCCAGUCAGCCCCAUGCCAGGGUCUGGCCCCAGCUCACCGGUGGGCCACUGUCAGCGGGCGCCAGAGACGUGCCGAGACUGAGAAGGAGCGCUCCCAGCCUCUGCUGGAGAGGAAAGCCGGGAGGGAGGCAGAGCCAGGGCUCGGAAACAAAGGCAUUGCCAUGGUUACCUCUGAAGAAACCGACUCCAGCAAGAGAGGGAAGGGUGCAGCCUGCAGGCUCCCAAGCCAGGACAAGGACAAGGCCGGUUGCCACAGAGACGCUCUGCAGCUUCCCUCGUGGGCCCGGCCUGAGUCCAGCUCAGGUUCCCUCACCCGGACAGGCCUCUGAGACUGACCCUCACACACAGGACAUGCCCCUGAGGAAUGCAACGUGCUGGCCCACCCCUUGGCUGUGAGCUCCGGGGUCAAGAGGCCAAUGCCAGAGGGAAAAUUCUCCAGGAACGGGAUGAAAGAUGGGAGCAGAAAAGCAGACACAGAGGGUUUGGGACCCGGCAGUAAUGAUGAGAACGGUGCUGACAGGUGGCGCUGCCCCGCGCUCGUGCUUUACGUCUAGUUUCAUGUCUGCAACCUCCAAUCAAAUAGGUACCAGGCGGCAUCAUCCCCACUUUACAGAUGAGCAAACUGAGCCUCAAGCAGGGGAAGUGACUCACCCGGGACCUGCAAUGAGGAAGAGGCCCAGACGCGGUGCAUUCCUGCCACCCAGCAGCCUGGCACGGCCCAGGAGCUUGUCAGAGAGGCAGAGCCCUGCCCAGACCUCCCAGACCAGGAUCGGCAUCUGAAACAGGUGCCCAGCUUUCACAUCUCCUCUGCAACGUGACAGCACUCGGCUUCCCUGCCGUCGGAGAAGAGUAUUUUUAGUUUUGAACCCACCACGUGGAAAGAGACAAGUUAUCAAUAGCAGCGGCAAAGGGCUUUUUCUUUUUUUCCCCGUGGCUUUGGGACCUGAGCAAUCUGCACCUGUUAAAUUCUGCCAAAAGAGAAAAAAUGUAUUCCUCUUCUAAACUUUUUACCCAGUGCCUUCCUCACUGCUGCAGCUUUGCAAACCAACUCUUCCCAGGUGGAUCCCACCCCAUUCAGCCGCGCUCCGCCCCCUGGCCCCUGGCCCCUGCGGGAGACCACUCUGCCCCACGAAGGGACCCACGGACGCAGAGAGAAAGGGCAGGGCGGGGGCUGCGGCCCUGGAACACGCAGGAAUGAGGGGCCGGAUGGGAGGAGUGACUUCCAUGCUCAGAGUUGGUGUGGGCCCCACUUCGAGCUUCAGUAGCAGCCCUAGCAUUUAUUGAGCACCUACUGUGUGCCUGGCCCUGGGCUGAGUACCUUUGAGUGCAUUGUCUCAGUUAAAUGCCCUAAUCAUCCUCUGAAGAGUUUCCCAAAUGAGGUACCGUGGAAUCCCAAGGCCUUUCUGGCUGCUGUUAGGUGUUUCUAGAGGAAAGGGUUCCACAGUCAAGAGGGUUUGGGAAUGCUGUUUAAAUAAAGCCAACAAGUGUCCCACUUCUCUGGUCCCUUCCCACUCUAGUAUACGUGGGAUCGUCCAGGACCCAGAAGGGCCUGCUGCAGACCCAUGAUUUAUUGGAACCGAACAACUUUUUUCCCCUACGGAAUGUCUUGUAUGACUCUGAAGUGGCCUCCUACCUUGCUGGGGGGACAUUUGGGCCCUUUUAGCUGCCUGCUUUUUAGGAUUAGUUAGAGCUGCACACGUGAUAAAACCCAGAAUAACAGAGGCAUCAACAAAAGAGAAAUAGCCCAGGCUGUCCAGGUUUGGCAGGGUAUCCAGUUCCUACCUUAUUUUAUCAUUCUACUAAUACUGGCUUCCAUCCCCAAUGUUACCUCACAACCCAAGAUGGCUGCUGGUGCUCCAGCCAUCACAUGCAUAUUUGACCAGGAAGAAGGAGUGAGGGAAAGAACAAGAGCAGACGUGCUGCCCUGCCAAGUGAAUCAGCUCCCUUUGAAAAUCUGUCCCUGGAGAUACACCAGGCACUUCUUCUCACAUCUCACUCGCCAGAGCUUUGUCCCAUGCCUCUCUCAGUGGAACAGUAGCAUUUUAGCUGCGUGUGUUUCCAGCCUGAACAAAACUGAGGGCCCAGGGAAAGAAGAUCAUGUGUGGCCAGGCCUGACUAUGGCCCCCAAGCGUCCUCUGGCAGGCCCAGAGAUGAGGACACCUGGGGAGGUGUGGGCUCACAAUCGCUGCCGGGAGAAAAGGGGCAGUGCCAGACGCAAAGCGGCGUCACCUCACAGCCUGGGUGCCCGUAUGCCCAGUGUGGUGCCAGGUGGGGUGCCCCAGCAUCGUGCCUGGACGGCAGCCUUGGUUUCUCUCUUCCUGGCUGUGCCCGGACCACGGAGCACGCGAGCAGGCAUGGGUUCAGGAGGCCACGGCGGACCCCCGGGCAGGCGGGGCGGCUCGGGUCCUUCUGUCCUCACCCUUCCCAGGGGCUCUCGUGGAGCAGGAAGGGUGUGGGCGCAUCUGCGUG
Long non-coding RNA from Hippopotamus amphibius kiboko, 3907 nucleotides. RefSeq lists it as uncharacterized. The transcript has 3 exons. The record is from RefSeq and is a predicted model, not a curated record. Lineage: Eukaryota; Metazoa; Chordata; Mammalia; Artiodactyla; Hippopotamidae.